GACGAACGCUGGCGGCGUGCUUAACACAUGCAAGUCGAACGGAAAGGCCCUGCUUUUGUGGGAUGCUCGAGUGGCGAACGGGUGAGUAACACGUGAGUAACCUGCCCUUGACUUUGGGAUAACUUCAGGAAACUGGGGCUAAUACCGGAUAGGAGCUCCUGCUGCAUGGUGGGGGUUGGAAAGUUUCGGCGGUUGGGGAUGGACUCGCGGCUUAUCAGCUUGUUGGUGGGGUAGUGGCUUACCAAGGCUUUGACGGGUAGCCGGCCUGAGAGGGUGACCGGCCACAUUGGGACUGAGAUACGGCCCAGACUCCUACGGGAGGCAGCAGUGGGGAAUAUUGCACAAUGGGCGGAAGCCUGAUGCAGCAACGCCGCGUGCGGGAUGGCGGCCUUCGGGUUGUAAACCGCUUUCGCCUGUGACGAAGCGUGAGUGACGGUAAUGGGUAAAGAAGCACCGGCUAACUACGUG
RNAcentral lists this ribosomal RNA (468 nucleotides) under uncultured bacterium. Its description in RNAcentral is "partial 16S ribosomal RNA". It matches the Rfam family "Bacterial small subunit ribosomal RNA", at positions 28 to 507 of the family's 1533-position model. The record is from RNAcentral.